RNAcentral lists this ribosomal RNA (247 nucleotides) under uncultured bacterium. RNAcentral describes it as "partial 16S ribosomal RNA". It matches the Rfam family "Bacterial small subunit ribosomal RNA", at positions 524 to 775 of the family's 1533-position model. The record is from RNAcentral.
GACAGAGGAUGCAAGCGUUAUCCGGAAUGAUUGGGCGUAAAGCGUCUGUAGGUGGCUUUUUUAAGUCCGCCGUCAAAUCCCAGGGCUCAACCCUGGACAGGCGGUGGAAACUACCAAGCAGGAGUACGGUAGGGCAGAGGGAAUUUCCGGUGGAGCGGUGAAAUGCGUAGAGAUCGGAAGAACACCAACGGCGAAAGCACUCUGCUGGCCGACACUGACACUGAGAGACGAAGCUAGGAGCGAAUGG